This is a long non-coding RNA of Mustela erminea (ermine), 1250 nucleotides long. RefSeq lists it as uncharacterized. The record is from RefSeq and is a predicted model, not a curated record. The transcript is spliced from 5 exons. NCBI's taxonomy places the organism in Eukaryota, Metazoa, Chordata, Mammalia, Carnivora, Mustelidae.
GGCCUUGCUAGGAAAGCUGGCCCAUGAAAUCACUCGGGGAAAACUUGACACUACGGUGGGCCAGCGUGGUUUGUCUUCUAGUAACGAAAGCAGGAUGAGGAAGCAGCCUCUACAUGAACCCUAAUGGUCUCAGUGUGGGAGAUCAGAACACAAGGGCUGGCGGGAACAUGCAAUGCCUCUGAAAACCUCAGCUCAGAGGAGGCAAACACCUCAUCUAUUUAUGGUCCAUCUUGACAAGUCACAAGGUCUAUAUCCACAAUCAGUGGGGUGAGGAUGUCUACAGGGAACACUGGAAAAGAAGAAAAGGAAAUGGAUAAUUGUGAACAAAUGAUACAAUCUCCAUGCCUCAUGAGGCAGACACUGAUACAACUCUCUUGGUAGAGAAGGAACUUGAGGUACAGGGAGGAAACUGAGGCACAGAGAGGUUGAGAACCUUGGCCAAAGUCCUACAGCUUCUUAGUGAUAGAGCCAAGAUUUCAGCCUGGGGAGUCUGACUCCAUGGUGUCGCAUCGUUUUCUAGAUUCUUCUCCUGGGAACUCUCAUUUUUGUGGAAUGACCUAUAUCUUCUUGUCUAAGUUUUCAGCAGGCUUCAACAAAAACAAUUUUUAAAGAAGAGUCAAAAUGGCAAAAAAUAAAGUUUUGUAAAAUGCUGUUAUGGAUUUCUUCAAGGAAUAAGUCAUUAAAUUGCUGCCAGUUGUAACUUGUGAGAUCAUCAAGCUCAGUGCAGGAAUAUUGAAAGCACAGAGAAUGUGAAGAGGACUCCUGCAGACUAGGGCCCUGCCGGAUGAGAGGUCUCUAGCAGGUUCCAUCACUGCCUAUCAGGAUCAUUCUCAUCCUCCCAGGGAAGGGUGGAAAACGGAGGCUCAGCUAGAUGAAGCGACAUCCUAAAUUUGCCAUUAGCAGAGGUGAGAACUGAGUCAAGAGCAGAUCGCAGGUCCACCUGUUCCCUAAGGACCAUGAAAACAGGAAUGUGGGCACAACAGCAAGGAAGCCUUGAGAGACAAGCCGAGCCAAGCUGUUCUGUAAGGAGAGGUGUUCUGUUCUGUGUGCUGUUCUGUAAGGAAAGGGGAAGUCACUGGAAUUGCUUUCUUAAAGAAGUUUUUAUAAAGCAAGUUCUCUAAAAAACCUUGGAUGGCCUAACCUUGCUCUGCAAGAUCAAUGAAGAUGACAGAUUUAUUUCCUCCUUCACUUGAAAAAAAUAUAUACCGUUCUCACCUUUCUGAGAUAAUUUUGAAGUGGUUUUUGUGUAA